GGGGAUGUAUCGGUUUCGACGGGGGUUUUGAAGUACGGGUAGCGAGUAGUUUUGAGCAUAACUUAAAAAGCUUAAAUUUUUAAAUAUAAAAGCUAAUAACGAAUUAGUUGCUGCCUAAUUAAGGCAGUCGUCUUACCUGUGAGUACCACGGCACAGGAUAGGGCGUCAAUUAGUGGUGAACGUGAGUAUGCAAUGCUUUGAGCAUACCAUGAAUAAUUAAGCAACCGAACUGUAUAUGUUUUCUUGUGGACUGUGCAGUAAGGAUCUGACCACAAGAUACACUCGUAGAAGCCUUUAUGAAUGAACUUUCGGACAGGAGUUCGACUCUCCUCAUCUCCACCA
This 342-nucleotide transfer-messenger RNA is filed under the name Clostridia. RNAcentral's name for it is "SIG450 sp017554615 Standard tmRNA". It matches the Rfam family "transfer-messenger RNA". From Rfam's summary of the family: Bacterial tmRNA, also known as 10Sa RNA or SsrA, is named for its dual tRNA and mRNA-like properties. Its role is to liberate the mRNA from a stalled ribosome. Lineage: Bacteria; Bacillati; Bacillota. The record is from RNAcentral. RNAcentral also lists the same sequence under 1 other name.